CCUACGGGGGGCAGCAGUGGGGGAUAUUGCACAAUGGGGGGAACCCUGAUGCAGCGACGCCGCGUGGGUGAAGAAGCGCCUCGGCGCGUAAAGCCCUGUCAGCAGGGAAGAAAAUGACGGUACCUGAAGAAGAAGCCCCGGCUAACUACGUGCCAGCAGCCGCGGUAAUACGUAGGGGGCAAGCGUUAUCCGGAUUUACUGGGUGUAAAGGGGGCGCAGACGGCGAUGCAAGCCAGGAGUGAAAGCCCGGGGCCCAACCCCGGGACUGCUCUUGGAACUGCGUGGCUGGAGUGCAGGAGGGGCAGGCGGAAUUCCUGGUGUAGCGGUGAAAUGCGUAGAUAUCAGGAGGAACACCGGUGGCGAAGGCGGCCUGCUGGACUGCAACUGACGUUGAGGCCCGAAAGCGUGGGGAGCAAACAGGAUUAGAUACCC
Molecule: ribosomal RNA, 432 nt
Filed under: uncultured bacterium
Lineage: Bacteria
Description: bacterial SSU rRNA
Rfam family: Bacterial small subunit ribosomal RNA
Source: RNAcentral